Molecule: ribosomal RNA, 253 nt
Filed under: uncultured bacterium
Lineage: Bacteria
Description: partial 16S ribosomal RNA
Rfam family: Bacterial small subunit ribosomal RNA
Source: RNAcentral
UACAGAGGGUGCGAGCGUUAUCCGGAUUCACUGGGUUUAAAGGGUGCGUAGGUGGGCAGGUAAGUCCGUGGUGAAAUCCCCGAGCUUAACUCGGGAACUGCCAUGGAUACUAUUUGUCUUGAAUAUUGUGGAGGUAAGCGGAAUAUGUCAUGUAGCGGUGAAAUGCUUAGAUAUGACAUAGAACACCAAUUGCGAAGGCAGCUUACUACACAGUUAUUGACGCUGAGGCACGAAAGCGUGGGGAUCAAACAGG